UUCGCAAUGCCCGAAAGGGUGACGAAGCGACGCCGCGUGUGGGAAGAAGGCCUUCGGGUUGUAAACCACUGUCGGGAGUUAAGAAAUGUAAGGGUGUUAAUAGCGCCUUUACUUGACAAAGGCUCCGGAGGAAGCCACGGCUAACUCUGUGCCAGCAGCCGCGGUAAUACAGAGGCGGCAAGCGUUGUUCGGAAUUAUUGGGCGUAAAGAGCACGUAGGCGGCUUUGCAAGUCAGUUGUGAAAGCCUUCCGCUUAACGGAAGAACAGCAGCUGAUACUACAGAGCUUAAGUACGGGAGGGGAGAGUGGAACUUCUGGUGGAGCGGUGAAAUGCGUAGAUAUCAGAAGGAACGCCGGCGGCGAAAGCGAUUCUCUGGUCCGAAACUGACGCUGAGUGUGCGAAAGCUAGGGGAUCAAACGGGAUUAGAUACCCCGGUAGUCCUAGCCGUAAACGAUGGGCACUAAGUAGAGGGGUUUU
Molecule: ribosomal RNA, 477 nt
Filed under: uncultured Planctomycetota bacterium
Lineage: Bacteria; Pseudomonadati; Planctomycetota
Description: bacterial SSU rRNA
Rfam family: Bacterial small subunit ribosomal RNA
Source: RNAcentral